Molecule: long non-coding RNA, 229 nt
Filed under: Vombatus ursinus (common wombat)
Lineage: Eukaryota; Metazoa; Chordata; Mammalia; Diprotodontia; Vombatidae
Description: lncRNA (ENSVURG00010020334.1)
Source: RNAcentral
CAAGGAGCCAUGAUCCUGACCUAAUUUAAAUUUCACAAGAUUUUACCAUUUCAAGAUGCAGACUUGUUACGAAGAUAAGACAUUUCCAGUCUUGAACUCAGAAAGCCUAUUGGGUGUGAUAAUACUGUCCCCUUUUGCUUUCUUUUACGACCACAUGAAACUUGAGAAGCCAUCUAAAGCUAAAUCAUUUAGUGGAGUUGGGCAGUUCCCAAGUGUCCAACAAGAAGGC